RNAcentral lists this ribosomal RNA (492 nucleotides) under uncultured bacterium. RNAcentral describes it as "partial 16S ribosomal RNA". It matches the Rfam family "Bacterial small subunit ribosomal RNA", at positions 30 to 507 of the family's 1533-position model. The record is from RNAcentral.
AUUGAACGCUGGCGGCAUGCUUUACACAUGCAAGUCGAACGGUAACAGGCCUUCGGGUGCUGACGAGUGGCGAACGGGUGAGUAAUGCAUCGGAACGUGCCCAGAGGUGGGGGAUAACGCAGCGAAAGCUGUGCUAAUACCGCAUGUGAUCUGAGGAUGAAAGCGGGGGACCAGGCAGCAAUGUUUGGCCUCGCGCCUUUGGAGCGGCCGAUGUCAGAUUAGGUAGUUGGUGGGGUAAAGGCCUACCAAGCCGACGAUCUGUAGCUGGUCUGAGAGGACGACCAGCCACACUGGGACUGAGACACGGCCCCGACUCCUACGGGAGGCAGCAGUGGGGAAUUUUUGGCAAUGGGCGCAAGCCUGAUCCAGCAAUGCCGCGUGCGGGAAGAAGGCCUUCGGGUUGUAAACCGCUUUUGUACGGAACGAAAAGGCUCUGGCUAAUACCUGGGGCUGAUGACGGUACCGUAAGAAUAAGCACCGGCUAACUACGUG